GAUGAACGCUGGCGGCGUGCCUAAUACAUGCAAGUCGAGCGAACAGACGAGGAGCUUGCUCCUCUGACGUUAGCGGCGGACGGGUGAGUAACACGUGGAUAACCUACCUAUAAGACUGGGAUAACUUCGGGAAACCGGAGCUAAUACCGGAUAAUAUAUUGAACCGCAUGGUUCAAUAGUGAAAGACGGUUUUGCUGUCACUUAUAGAUGGAUCCGCGCCGCAUUAGCUAGUUGGUAAGGUAACGGCUUACCAAGGCAACGAUGCGUAGCCGACCUGAGAGGGGGAUCGGCCCCGCUGGAACUGAGACACGGUCCAGACUCCUACGGGAGGCAGCAGUAGGGAAUCUUCCGCAAUGGGCGAAAGCCUGACGGAGCAACGCCGCGUGAGUGAUGAAGGUCUUCGGAUCGUAAAACUCUGUUAUUAGGGAAGAACAAAUGUGUAAGUAACUAUGCACGUCUUGACGGUACCUAAUCAGAAAGCCACGGCUAACUACGUG
RNAcentral lists this ribosomal RNA (497 nucleotides) under uncultured bacterium. RNAcentral's name for it is "partial 16S ribosomal RNA". It matches the Rfam family "Bacterial small subunit ribosomal RNA", at positions 28 to 507 of the family's 1533-position model. The record is from RNAcentral.